CAUGACUGGGGCAGUCCUUGCAGUGAUAGUCUGUGUGUUCCUGGUGGCAGCUGUCAUUCUCUUCACACAGAGGAGAGCCAUACGCUUCCUGGAUUAGAAACCCACUGUUGGGAACGGACCUACAGGCACAGAACAGGAGCAGGAGAACCAGCAGGUCUACUCCACAGCACAGCUCCCUGGGCCUCUGUCCACACCAGAGUCCUGUGGGGUCUACUCUCUGGCAGCCAGCCCCCUGAGCUGAGUACGCACUUGCUUAGAGAUCGCGGCCAGUUCACAAAAUGACCACAAGAGGAAGAUCCGCAAUAGACCGGGCUGCGGUGACAGGGUCCAGACUGAAGUACUGAAGCACAGUUGCCCGGUCAGCAGCCUAAAACACCAGCCAUUACCAGCUGAUACCAUCUGGUGGAGAUUGUAAAUGCAAGAAACUUAAAUUGGACAUCAGCGAGACUCCCCGCCCCGUCUGACCUGAAGUUCUGUGCUUUAAUAUACGGAUGGCAUGUGAAUGUGUAAGCUGCGGUGUGCAGAGUGUUAGGAAUUGAGAUUUCAAUUUCUUGGAAGAAAGCUUGUAACUAUAGAAAUCUCAAACACCUGUAACCAAGUAACACUGGAAAUCAUAGCGAUUCUUUAGCAAACCACAGUCACAGCGGUAAUAAGGGCAGGAAAACCGUCUUGUAUAUUUAACCCCACAUCAGUGGUUUUCAAAGCUUCCACAUAUACUGGUGCUGAUAAAACAGCAAUCUUCAGAAUGAAAGAAAAGGGAGUUAUGUCAAAACCCUUCGAUCUUUUUUACAUUAAAGGUUAAUGACUUUU
Non-coding RNA from Lepisosteus oculatus (spotted gar), 810 nucleotides. The record is from RefSeq and is a predicted model, not a curated record. NCBI's taxonomy places the organism in Eukaryota, Metazoa, Chordata, Actinopteri, Semionotiformes, Lepisosteidae.